GCAUGAUAUUUUCUGAAGGAGAUUUAACUUCUUCAUUUUAUUUUUUUUGGUCCUGGUUUCCACGAAAGCCUUCAGCCUUGGCUCCGGCUGACCAGGGUUCUAGUCCAAACUUGGCCAUCAACUCGUGAUGCAUUUAGGCAAACCAUUCGUUCUCUCUGGGACUCUUCAUUUCCCAUCUGCAGAUGAGUGUUCUGAACUGGGUGAUGGCCAGGUUCAGCUCAAACUGCAUGUGACCCUACUUGACUUUGAACCCUGUGAAUAAUCUAAAGCUGAAUUAAAGUUGGAAGGAGGAGGGGUUCUCUCAGUGUGUUUGUUCCCUUGUUUAUUGAUUGGCUUUAAAAAAAAUUCAGGAGAGCGGUGCCUGGGUGGCUCAGUCGGUUGGGUGUCUGACUUCGGCUCAGGAGAAGGCAUUUUCCAUGAAAAAUCAACACACCAUGUCUUGGGAGAGCUGGGGAUCCUACCUGGCACCUUGUGGGAAACACUUCAGGCCUGGAUGAAAGAAGAAGGAAGACGGGGCCAAAAUGAAGUCAGGAGGAACAGAGAUGCUGCAAGCCAGAGGACACAUCACUCUAAAAGGCUUUAUAGAGAAGGCUGAGUACGGAUGGAAAAUUUAUGCCUGGAAGGAUGUUACCAUACAGAAAAGAUUUGGGGCCAUAGGGAUACUCUUACCGUUUCCACCUCACAGAGGAACAAAGUGAGGACCACAGAGACUCAACAACUGGCCUCGCGUCACAUGGUUUUUACCGUCAUGCAGCAGCACCUCUGAGAUCAGCAUGGCUAGACGUUGAAUGAUUUCCUGUUUGCUCUGUACUGCAGUCACUGGGCUCAGCUCUGGCGUUUUGGGACCUUUGGAUAUUUUGUUCAUUCAGGAUUCUGCACUUGGAUGCUCUAGUUGCCAGGCAAAGGGAUAGAUCUGAGUCGUGGUCCACCCCCCACCACAAUAAAGGACUUUGUUGAAAGCUGGCUCCA
Molecule: long non-coding RNA, 969 nt
Filed under: Felis catus (domestic cat)
Lineage: Eukaryota; Metazoa; Chordata; Mammalia; Carnivora; Felidae
Description: lncRNA (ENSFCAG00000040496.2)
Source: RNAcentral